CCUACGGGAGGCUGCAGUGGGGAAUAUUGCACAAUGGGCGCAAGCCUGAUGCAGCCAUGCCGCGUGUGUGAAGAAGGCCUUCGGGUUGUAAAGCACUUUCAGCGGGGAGGAAGGCGGUGAGGUUAAUAACCUCAUCGAUUGACGUUACCCGCAGAAGAAGCACCGGCUAACUCCGUGCCAGCAGCCGCGGUAAUACGGAGGGUGCAAGCGUUAAUCGGAAUUACUGGGCGUAAAGCGCACGCAGGCGGUCUGUCAAGUCGGAUGUGAAAUCCCCGGGCCCAACCUGGGAACUGCAUUCGAAACUGGCAGGCUAGAGUCUUGUAGGGGGGGGUAGAAUUCCAGGUGUAGCGGUGAAAUGCGGAGAGAUCUGGAGGAAUACCGGUGGCGAAGGCGGCCCCCUGGACAAAGACUGACGCUCAGGUGCGAAAGCGUGGGGAGCAAACAGGAUUAGAUACCCUUGUAGUC
This 465-nucleotide ribosomal RNA is filed under the name uncultured Klebsiella sp. RNAcentral's name for it is "bacterial SSU rRNA". It matches the Rfam family "Bacterial small subunit ribosomal RNA", at positions 338 to 795 of the family's 1533-position model. Lineage: Bacteria; Pseudomonadati; Pseudomonadota; Gammaproteobacteria; Enterobacterales; Enterobacteriaceae. The record is from RNAcentral.